UGUGGACUUGGGUAAUUCGAUACUCUUUUAUUUGGAGUGUCAGACUUAUGUGAAAUAUUCACAAACUAACUAGCUUGGAUCUUGAUCUGAUAAAUAUUAUAUUAAAGAUAUUUCUUCUACCUUUCUGAUAGACAUAAGAUGUUCAUGUAUCUUAAGGCAUUCUUUUUGAAAAAAAAAUUUUUGAUGAAGGAACUGAUGCCGUUAAGACCAAGCUUAGUGAAGCUUGAUAGAUAGAGGUACUGAGUCUGAUACAAACUAAUAAAUCUAGAGUUGAUUAGAUCAAUUUCAGAGCCCGAUGUAAAGACAUC
RNAcentral lists this long non-coding RNA (308 nucleotides) under Elaeis guineensis (African oil palm). RNAcentral describes it as "long non-coding RNA (EGUI_LNC066331)". Lineage: Eukaryota; Viridiplantae; Streptophyta; Magnoliopsida; Arecales; Arecaceae. The record is from RNAcentral.